GCCUGGGUGGCUCAAUCAGUUGAGCGUCCGACUUUGGCUCAGGUCAUGAUCUCGUGGUCUGUGGGUUCAAGCCCCACGUCGGGCU
Felis catus (domestic cat) is the source of this 85-nucleotide transfer RNA. It matches the Rfam family "tRNA". From Rfam's summary of the family: Transfer RNA (tRNA) molecules are approximately 80 nucleotides in length. Their secondary structure includes four short double-helical elements and three loops (D, anti-codon, and T loops). Lineage: Eukaryota; Metazoa; Chordata; Mammalia; Carnivora; Felidae. The record is from Rfam.